RNAcentral lists this long non-coding RNA (224 nucleotides) under Brassica napus (rape). RNAcentral describes it as "long non-coding RNA (BNAP_LNC005457)". Lineage: Eukaryota; Viridiplantae; Streptophyta; Magnoliopsida; Brassicales; Brassicaceae. The record is from RNAcentral.
AGGUGGGGUGUGACGAUCAACGUCGGACUCACUCUGUCGAUAGAUGGUUGGCUCAACCGAUCGAUCGAUUUUAUCAUAGAAAUGGGAGGGUGGGUGAGGAUGCUUAGCUGCGAAUUCCUCAUGAGUUAGAAUUCGAACUGCAUUGCAUUCAGUCGAUUUAGCGGACGACGUCGAUCGAUAACUGGAGUAAUCCAUCCAUCGAUUUUCGUCAUGGUCUGUCGAUU